Molecule: ribosomal RNA, 616 nt
Filed under: Acinetobacter sp. EK-I87
Lineage: Bacteria; Pseudomonadati; Pseudomonadota; Gammaproteobacteria; Moraxellales; Moraxellaceae
Description: bacterial SSU rRNA
Rfam family: Bacterial small subunit ribosomal RNA
Source: RNAcentral
UGGGGGGCUAACCUGCAGCGAGCGGGGAAGUAGUUGUCUGCUAGCGCGGAGCUGAUAUGUUAGGAUCCGCUUAUGGGGAACAUUCCGAAGAUGUAAUACCGCAUACGCCCUACGGGGGAAAGCAGGGAUCUUCGGACCUUGCGCUAAUAGAUGAGCCUAAGUCAGAUUAGCUAGUUGGUGGGGUAAAGGCCUACCAAGGCGACGAUCUGUAGCGGGUCUGAGAGGAUGAUCCCGCCACACUGGGACUGAGACACGGCCCAGACUCAAUACGGGAGGCAGCAGUGGGGAAUAUUGGACAAUGGGCGAAAGCCUGAUCCAGCCAUGCCGCGUGUGUGAAGAAGGCCUUUUGGUUGUAAAGCACUUUAAGCGAGGAGGAGGCUACUUGGAUUAAUACUCUAGGAUAGUGGACGUUACUCGCAGAUAAGCACCGGCUAACUCUGUGCCAGCAGCGCGGUAAUACAGAGGGGCGAGCGUUAUCGGAUUUACUGGCGUAAAGCGUGCGUAGGCGGCUUCUAAGUCGGAGUGAAUCCUGAGCUUAACUUAGGAUUGCAUUCGAUACUGGGAGCUAGAGUAUGGUAGAGGAUGGUAGAUUCCAGUGUAGCGUGAAUGCGUAGAA